Zea mays is the source of this 1823-nucleotide long non-coding RNA. RefSeq lists it as uncharacterized. NCBI's taxonomy places the organism in Eukaryota, Viridiplantae, Streptophyta, Magnoliopsida, Poales, Poaceae. The record is from RefSeq and is a predicted model, not a curated record. The transcript has 3 exons.
AGGAGAGCAGUGGCAGCAGGGGGAGAGACAAGAGAGUGGUGGUUGUGCAAAACCCUAACCCUAAUCAGGUAGUUGGACCAAGCCCAUUACACAGGGGUAGUCAGGUAAAUAUAAGAGGGCUCAAGCCAAAACCCUAAACGGGAGUCUAACACCCACUAGUCUCAACUCUAUCCUGUACAGAUGUUGAGACUAAUCGAAACUCAAUGAAUACAAUCAACGAUGCCCCCUUGGUGAAGAUGUCUGUGAACUGCGACAUGGUCGGGAUGCUAAGAACGCGGACAUUACCGACGAUGACACGCUCACGGACAAAGUGAAGAUCGAUCUCUAUGUGAUUCGUGUGCUGAUGCUGCACGAGAUUGGUGGAGAAGUAGAUCGCGCUGACGUUGUCGCAGUAGAUGAGGGUGGAGCGCUCGAGGGGGGUGUGGAGCUCCUAGAGACGCUGACGGAGCCAAGAGGCCUUGGCCACGCCGUUGGCCACAACGCGGUACUCGGCCUCAUCGCUGAAGCGCGAGACGACGAAAUGCCGCUUCGCGGUCCAGGAGACGAGGUUGGCACCUAGGAACACGGUGUAACCAAAAGUGGAUCAACGCGUGUCAGGGCAGCCGGCCCAGUCAGCGUCGAUGUAGACCACGAGCUACGACGUCGGGGAGGGUCAAAGGAGUAGGCCGUAGUCGAUGGAGCCACAAAGGUAGCAAAGGAUCCGCUUGAGAGCGAUAAGGUUGGGUUCCCGUGGGGUGUGUGCAUGUGAAGGCACACCUGCUGGACAGUGUAUGCGAUGUGAGCCGAGAGAAGGUCUGGUACCAGUGGCGGGCCUAGGAAUUUGAAACCGGGUAUUCAAAGAUUCAAAAGUUUAAAUAAAUUAGUGCCUCAAUCCUUUUCUGUACUAUACAUUAUUGAUAAAAUAACAUAGAUUUGCAAAAAAUCAUGGGUAUUCAAGUGCAUACCCAUGAUCCCCUCUAGGCCCGCCCCUGUCUGGUACUGGAGUGCGUUGGUGAGGCUCCGAUAGGCCAUCGCGUCGACGACCGAAGUCGCGUCGACGACCGGCGUCGCGUCGACGACCGGGGGCCCAUCAUCCUCAGAGAGCUUCACCUGAGUAUCGACAGGCAUGGAGCAGGGCUUGCAAUCGGACAUGGCAGCCCGCUCUAGGAUGUUGCUUGCAAUCGGACAUGGCAGCCCGCUCUAGGAUGUCGAGAGCGUACUAGCGCCGGUGGAGGAAGACACCCUGAGACUCAGGGGCGGAUCUCCGACCGGGGCUGCCUGGGCUGCAGCCCCGGUCGCGGCCCAGUAAAGUGAAGAGGCCCACUGCGAGUACGCGACCGCCCAGGCGCCUAGCUCCAGCCGCCCAGCUCCAGCCAGUCCCGUGAACAUCCUCCCUCUAGUCCAUCUACCCUCCAGCUACAGUCGGUAGCCAGCACCCUGCAGGCCGAGCGCCGCUCGCCCGGAGCCCCGCCGCAGUCCGCAGUCCGCACCCCGCAGCGCCGCUCGCCCGGAGCACCGCCGCGAGCCUACGACCACGCCGUUGUCCAGCCGCCGCUCCACUGUUUGUGAAGCACAUUUGUGAAGCAGACAAGCUGUGAUUUGUGAUCGUGCGCUAAACCCUAACUGUGAUUUGUGAAGCAGACAAGCAGUGAAGAUAUUCAAGAUGAAAAGAUUUUGAAACAUUUUCAAGGCUUAAGAACUCGGAAGAUAAAUUUACCUCGCAACAUCAACUCAUGGUUCGAGCUCCAAAUAUCCAACCUGCACAUUGCGAUCCUUCCAGAACGCGGGGUCCUCGUCGAGCUCGAAGUGCGGCACCUCCAGGGGCACCUCCGCGGCCGCGACAU